RNAcentral lists this ribosomal RNA (406 nucleotides) under uncultured bacterium. RNAcentral's name for it is "partial 16S ribosomal RNA". It matches the Rfam family "Bacterial small subunit ribosomal RNA", at positions 28 to 526 of the family's 1533-position model. The record is from RNAcentral.
GACGAACGCUGGCGGCGUGCUUAACACAUGCAAGUCGAACGAGUGGCGGACGGGUGAGUAAUGUCUGGGAAACUGCCCGAUGGAGGGGGAUAACUACUGGAAACGGUAGCUAAUACCGCAUACCAUCGGAUUUGCCCAGCUGGGAUUAGCUAGUAGGUGGGGUAACGGCUCACCUAGGCGACGAUCCCUAGCUGGUCUGAGAGGUUGACCAGCCACACUGGAACGGAGAAACGGUCCAGACUCCUAGGGGAGGCAGCAUUGGGGAAUAUGGCACAAUGGGCGCAAGCCUGAUGAAGCAAUGCCGCGUGUAUGAAGAAGGCCUGCGGGUUGUAAAGUACUUUCAGCGAGGAGGCGUUACUCGCAGAAGAAGCACCGGCUAACUCCGUGCCAGCAGCCGCGGUAAUAC